This is a long non-coding RNA of Anguilla anguilla (European eel), 485 nucleotides long. RefSeq lists it as uncharacterized. The record is from RefSeq and is a predicted model, not a curated record. NCBI's taxonomy places the organism in Eukaryota, Metazoa, Chordata, Actinopteri, Anguilliformes, Anguillidae. The transcript is spliced from 3 exons.
ACAUGUCAUCAACUGCUGUGAGACUUGCAGAAGCUUCUAUUGUUCAAUGCUGAAUGUAGGAAAACUAGUUUCAUUCGGCAUCUUUCGUGUUGCGCAAUGGUUAGAGGUGAAAAAGCGAUAGCCUGUUCUGCGCUUAUACCCAGCCACACUUCUCACCAGGACGGAACGGAUUUUCUCUGAUUCCAAGUUCGAUGCGUUCAACACGUCGGCAGAUGAACAAUGAUAUUUCCGCUCGGAAGCCGCGGCUCGCUGCUGCUCUUGGCGUCGAUGGUCUCGCUAUGCUGCGCGGAUCCGACCCAGAACUGCAACAUCACCGCCCCGGCCGAAUUUGUCAGCCUGGCUCACAGAUCGGUGCACGCCGUCCGGAGCACAGCUGGAUCCCUGAGGCCCUUGUACAACUUCGCUCGUAGCUUUCUGGAUGCGGUGCAGCCCAACGAAUUCCCAAGUGAUAUAAUACAGCGAGUCGUGGAUGGUGAACAGCUGGA